ACGUGAUCGCGCACCGCCUCCUCCGCGCCGCUGUCACGUGACCGCGCCCGCUCUAUAUAAGCUGCGCGCGGGCCCAACUUCGGCCUUUCCGCCCCGCGGGGGAGAUGGAGUGGGGGCGCUCGGCGCGGCCUUGUCGGAUGCAUCAACCACACUCCUCCGUCUUACGGCUUCAGAACAGGUAGGUAUUACUGGUGUAACGUGGAGUUUAAAUUGAGAAAUAAUGUGUAGGUACACUUGGAGAAACUAGCCUGGAAUAUUUUGGGAAGUUACAGGAGUAGUGUUUGUAAUCCAGUAAUUGCAGUGUCUCUUCAGGCACUCCUCACUACUCUGCUGGGAAAAGCCAUGUCUUUCAUGUACUGGGAAGGAAAUGUGAGGUUCAUGUUUUGAGCCGGUAUAGUAAUACUGGCCUCUAACCAGGCUACAAUAGCACCCUAAAUACAUUUUUUCCUUGGUUACUGCUCUUUCGCUAUCCAGUACCUUGUUGUUUGGAGGAAAAUGCCUGAUGCUUGUUUCAUAAAGAGCCUGUAACUGGUGGAUAACGGGAAGGGAGAGCCUAUGAUGGUUUCAGAGUAGUGGACAGAAGUGAUUUCUGAAAACUGCAUGCUGAGGCUUUGUUCUGUGUGUGGUGUCACUGCGAGAGGUAUUUCUUGUCAUCCUGCAGUGUUUCAAACCAUUUUCUCUUCCAGAACCACUGCUGAAUGUGGAGGAUUGAUGAUGCUGCUUCAGAAGGAUUUCAGCUGUAUGCUUGGAAGACUUGAAGGAGAAACGUGACCCGGCACAGGGAGAUGAAGCUGUAAGCUGUGCAAGGCUGUCCCAGGCAGGACGCCCAUGCCUCCUCCAGUGUGAGAAGCUUUCACCUGUUACUCCUGUUGAAGACAUGAUCUUCCUAAUUAAAGGCUUCCAGAGUGUUUCUCAUUGUGAUGGCUGGUACGGUGGAGCUGUGAAGUGGCGCAGUCGGUAGUCGUGCCAGCGAAGAGUGAAGCUCAUGGAGUUUGUAUGAAACAAGACUAACUUAUAUCUGAGGUGCGCUGUGAAAUCUUAUGUAGAGUUUGUGUGAACAGAAGAUGCGACCUCAGUGACUCUGAAAGCUGGUGUUUAUUUUUAUUGCUGGAUGUCUUCACACGGUGGCAAUAAUAACAGAGCUGAAUUGGUGGAGACCACUGAGCCAAUCCAGUGCAGCUGAUGUGGUACAGUUCUGUGCAGCAGCAGAUAACUGUUACAACUGGAUUCUAAUGCAUCUGGUUAGUCUGUCAGCUGACCCUUGCACUCUUAAAUCAAAGAAGUAAACAAACCCAAAGCCCACCCUGUCUGCUGUGGUUGUCACUACUCAGUAAUUUUCUGGUCUUGGUUAUGCUGGCUGUACAUGAAUUUAAGGUCAAGUUUUAGAUCAUGGCUUUCCUAACUUUUCUCCAGCAGACUGGUUCUUACUUUUAAGAAUGUUUUCCAGAUGAUUUCUAUGGGACUUGUAUUUUAGGUAGCAAAACACAUUGAAUCUAACCCUGUUAGGAGAGUAUCACAAAGCAAGUAGUAGUUAUGUACUUUUGCCCACAUUCUUCCCGUGUUAGUAAUUUUGUAUUUCCCAUUCCGUUUGUAAGCCCUGUAUAUCCUAGGUGGGUAGUGCAAGUUGAAGCUUGUGUCAGUUGCCAGCUUGAAAUAAAAUCAGCUUAGUGAAUAGAAUUUCAUAGCUUAACUUGCAUAAAGUGGUGGCUGGUAUUCUGGAACAGCUUUUUCUCUUUCUCAGGAAAGGACUCUGCUGUCUGCAGCCUCACGAGGUAAGACCACACAGCAGAAAUUCUGUUAAAAACUGGGAAUAUUUGUAGCCACUGAUGAAAUUUGAUUCUGCCAAAUGAAUUACUGUGAUUUUAAACUUUCCGUUCCACUUUUCUCUGAGGUUACAAAGCUGCUGUGGAGCUGUUAGCAGCUGUACUACUGCCUGUGUUAAUUGUGUUUUCUUGCUUUAGGCGAGGAGGCAACAUUACUACUGUAUGAAGAACUGAGAAGGUGAGUGUCACUAGUAGCAAAACUUAUCUGCUGGAACAAAUGAUGAUAACCUCAGCUUGAACUCUCUCUCUGAGCAGAGAUGAAAAUCUAGGGUCUGACUUGUUCCCAGCAAACUUCUCGUGUGCUCAUUUGGUGCCUAAUAAUUAUGUCUGUCUUAAUAGGUGGAAGACUGCAGAGUACUGAUAAUAUGUGCAUGAACCAGCACUAAAAAUCCAAGUUUUUUCACUGCAAUGGAAAUGUUUGGUACUGAUUGGAACCAAUAAAAAUGUGUAAACUCUA
This is a long non-coding RNA of Cuculus canorus (common cuckoo), 2280 nucleotides long. RefSeq lists it as uncharacterized. The transcript has 9 exons. NCBI's taxonomy places the organism in Eukaryota, Metazoa, Chordata, Aves, Cuculiformes, Cuculidae. The record is from RefSeq and is a predicted model, not a curated record.